AGUAAAUCGACGAAAAUUCGACCUACCCUGUGUUUAUUUUCAAUAUUUUGAACCACUUUUUUCCGUCUCAACCAUUUGGUUGAGAUUAGAUGGUUUACCAGGCGUGUCAAUGACAGGACAAUAUGAAAUCUCUUCAUCAACUAACCAUUACACUAGCUUUUAUUUUUUAACAAUUUUUCUAUCCGAAUGUUAACGGAGAUGGUCUGGCC
This 209-nucleotide long non-coding RNA is filed under the name Mytilus galloprovincialis (Mediterranean mussel). Lineage: Eukaryota; Metazoa; Mollusca; Bivalvia; Mytilida; Mytilidae. The record is from RNAcentral.